ACCUCUUAACAAAAGAUAUCUUGGGUCUCUCAUCUCUGAAAAAAGCACCGAAAAGUGAUAAAUAAAGUGAAAAGUGGAAAACACUGAAACAUAUAAACUUUUAACGCACCCUGUGCCCCCUGGGAUUUCGAGGGGCAUGCCUGUGUGAGAGUGAUUA
This 157-nucleotide ribosomal RNA is filed under the name Pleurotus floridanus. Its description in RNAcentral is "5.8S ribosomal RNA". It matches the Rfam family "5.8S ribosomal RNA". Rfam says of the family: 5.8S ribosomal RNA (5.8S rRNA) is a component of the large subunit of the eukaryotic ribosome. It is transcribed by RNA polymerase I as part of the 45S precursor that also contains 18S and 28S rRNA. Functionally, it is thought that 5.8S rRNA may be involved in ribosome translocation. Lineage: Eukaryota; Fungi; Basidiomycota; Agaricomycetes; Agaricales; Pleurotaceae. The record is from RNAcentral.